AGAGUUUGAUCCUGGCUCAGGACGAACGCUGGCGGCGUGCUUAACACAUGCAAGUCGAACGGUGAACCUGCUUCGGUGGGGGAUCAGUGGCGAACGGGUGCGUAACACGUGGGCAACCUGCCCUCAGCUCUGGGAUAACUCCAAGAAAUUGGGGCUAAUACCGGAUAUGACCGCUGACCGCAUGGUCUGGUGGUGGAAAGAUUUAUCGGCUGGGGAUGGGCCCGCGGCCUAUCAGCUUGUUGGUGGGGUAGUGGCCUACCAAGGCGACGACGGGUAGCCGGCCUGAGAGGGUGACCGGCCACACUGGGACUGAGACACGGCCCAGACUCCUACGGGAGGCAGCAGUGGGGAAUAUUGCGCAAUGGGCGAAAGCCUGACGCAGCGACGCCGCGUGGGGGAUGACGGCCUUCGGGUUGUAAACCUCUUUCAGCAGGGACGAAGCGGAAGUGACGGUACCUGCAGAAGAAGCACCGGCCAACUACGUGCCAGCAGCCGCGGUAAUACGUAGGGUGCAAGCGUUGUCCGGAAUUAUUGGGCGUAAAGAGCUCGUAGGCGGUUCGUCGCGUCGGCUGUGAAAUCCCGAGGCUCAACCUCGGGUCUGCAGUCGAUACGGGCGGACUUGAGUUCGGCAGGGGAGACUGGAAUUCCUGGUGUAGCGGUGAAAUGCGCAGAUAUCAGGAGGAACACCGGUGGCGAAGGCGGGUCUCUGGGCCGAUACUGACGCUGAGGAGCGAAAGCGUGGGGAGCGAACAGGAUUAGAUACCCUAGUAGUCC
RNAcentral lists this ribosomal RNA (774 nucleotides) under uncultured bacterium. RNAcentral describes it as "bacterial SSU rRNA". It matches the Rfam family "Bacterial small subunit ribosomal RNA", at positions 8 to 796 of the family's 1533-position model. The record is from RNAcentral.